Molecule: non-coding RNA, 463 nt
Organism: Drosophila melanogaster (fruit fly)
Lineage: Eukaryota; Metazoa; Arthropoda; Insecta; Diptera; Drosophilidae
Source: Ensembl
ACAUGUCAUACCCCCCGUUAGAGGGAAGUAUGGAAAACAAGUCCAAGAGCGUCGGGACCAUAAAGAUGAGCACAAGAUUAGCAACGUUACCAGUCGUUGUUGGCAUCUCGGAGAAUUGGAGUUCGAUUCCUUUGUUUUCGGAUUCCGCACAGCUGCCAAAUUGCUGGUGCAGCGCAGCGUCAAGUGAGCUCGAGCGCAUAAAUGUUUUUUACGAGCACUACGCCCAUCCCACCUCACCCCCCCCCCCCUGCGAGGAUAAUCGCGGUCCUUUAUGGAGCAGCCUCUGUGUGUGCGCCUUUUGAUGUGUAACGCGUGCCCGGCCACUGGGGUCGAUGGUAUUUAUGGGCCUAAGGUCGAUGUGGAAUAACCCGGCACGAUUCCAAGUUCCUAACAAUCGCCCGAGUUCUUGGAAAACACCAUGAGUCAAGGUCGAGAAUGCUGAAGGUCUAAGUACAUAGUAUAU